RNAcentral lists this ribosomal RNA (552 nucleotides) under uncultured bacterium. RNAcentral describes it as "partial 16S ribosomal RNA". It matches the Rfam family "Bacterial small subunit ribosomal RNA", at positions 355 to 898 of the family's 1533-position model. The record is from RNAcentral.
UAGGGAAUCCUCCACAAUGGACGCAAGUCUGAUGGAGCAACGCCGCGUGAGUGAAGAAGGUUUUCGGACCGUAAAGCUCUGUUGUUGGUGAAGAAGGAUAGAGGUAGUAACUGGCCUUUAUUUGACGGUAAUCAACCAGAAAGUCACGGCUAACUACGUGCCAGCAGCCGCGGUAAUACGUAGGUGGCAAGCGUUGUCCGGAUUUAUUGGGCGUAAAGCGAGCGCAGGCGGAAGAAUAAGUCUGAUGUGAAAGCCCUCGGCUUAACCGAGGAAUUGCAUCGGAAACUGUUUUCUUGAGUGCAGAAGAGGAGAGUAGAACUCCAUGUGUAGCGGUGGAAUGCGUAGAUAUAUGGAAGAAUACCAGUGGCGAAGGCGGCUCUCUGGUCUGCAACUGACGCUGAGGCUCGAAAGCAUGGGUAGCGAACAGGAUUAGAUACCCUGGUAGUCCAUGCCGUAAACGAUGAGUGCUAAGUGUUGGGAGGCUUCCGCCUCUCAGUGCUGCAGCUAACGCAUUAAGCACUCCGCCUGGGGGAGUACGACCGCAAGGUUGAA